AUUGAACGCUGGCGGCAUGCCUUACACAUGCAAGUCGAACGGCAGCACGGGAGCAAUCCUGGUGGCGAGUGGCGAACGGGUGAGUAAUGUAUCGGAACGUACCUUUCAGUGGGGGAUAACGUAGCGAAAGUUACGCUAAUACCGCGUAUUCUGUGAGCAGGAAAGCAGGGGAUCGCAAGACCUUGCGCUGAUUGAGCGGCCGAUAUCAGAUUAGCUAGUUGGUGAGGUAAAGGCUCACCAAGGCGACGAUCUGUAGCGGGUCUGAGAGGAUGAUCCGCCACACUGGAACUGAGACACGGUCCAGACUCCUACGGGAGGCAGCAGUGGGGAAUUUUGGACAAUGGGCGCAAGCCUGAUCCAGCCAUGCCGCGUGAGUGAAGAAGGCC
This 386-nucleotide ribosomal RNA is filed under the name uncultured bacterium. RNAcentral's name for it is "bacterial SSU rRNA". It matches the Rfam family "Bacterial small subunit ribosomal RNA", at positions 30 to 416 of the family's 1533-position model. The record is from RNAcentral.